GGGGAAAUUGUCCAAGGAGCCUGUCGGACGAAGACGCCGAGACGCUGGAAGGUUGCUGGCGCAGCUGCGGAGGGCGGCGUCACUGAGCCGCGCCGGCGGAGCCGGUUGCAGACCCGCUCCUCUCGCCUGCUUUCUCCGGGGCUCGCUUCUUCACCCAGGGUCCGUCGAGCCUUUUCCAUGUCCCGGGUAGACGCAGUCCUCCGCACCCUCCACGCCCAUGGCCACUAGCCUGAGGAGGCCGUCUUUCACCGGCUGUUCUUCCUCCCCUCCGGACGCGGACGACGAGGGCGUGCGCGGCACUUGCGAAGAUGCUUCUCUGUGCAAGCGGAUAUUUUGCUCGUGUCCACGGCGUCAGUCAGCUUAUCAAGGCAUUUCUACGGAAGACAGGGUGCAACUGUCAAAUUCUAAACCUUGGGGCUGGGAUGGAUACCACCUUCUGGAGGUUAAAGGAUGAAGAUCUUCUACCAAGUAAAUAUUUUGAAAUAGACUUUCCAAUGAUCGUCACGAGAAAGCUGCAUAGCAUCAAAUUGAAACCUCUUCUUUCAAAACCCAUUUUAGACUUACAUUCAGAGGACACACUUCAAAUGGACGGGCACACAUUGGAUUCAACGAGAUAUGCCAUCAUUGGAGCUGAUCUCCGAGAUAUUCCUGAACUGGAAGAGAAACUAAAGAAAUGUAACAUGAAUACACAAUUGCCCACCCUCCUGGUGGCUGAAUGUGUGCUGGUUUACAUGACUCCGGAGCAGUCUGCAAACCUUCUCAAGUGGGCCGCCAACAGUUUCGAGACUGCCAUGUUCAUAAACUACGAACAGGUGAACAUGGAUGACCGGUUUGGGCAGAUCAUGAUUGAGAACCUGCGGCGGCGACAGUGUGACCUGGCGGGAGUCGAGACCUGCAAGUCGUUAGAGUCGCAGGUCAGCGGGCCGAGACCGGGACGUCCUCUUGUGCCCACCGAGGAAGGGCAGCCUCCCUUCCCAGAGAAGAGAAUGGGUGAAUCCCUCACGGGUGCCGGCCCGCAGGCAGCAGGGCGCUUGUUAGCCCCUGUGCAUCGUGCUGGACACCCAAGCCCUCUGCUGCCAUCUUGGGGUGGAAAAUGGAAACGUACAUUUCCUAGCCCCGUUGUUUCAACUUUUCAUCAUGCCAUUUUUCAAACAAAAGUAGAGGGAACAGUAAAAUGAACACCCAUGUCCCAUCAGCCAGCUUCAGAACUUAAUAACAUUUUAUCAUUGUCUUUUUUUUUUUUUUCUUCUUUUUUGGGCUCCAUCUGUGGCAUAUGGAAGUUCCCAGGCUAGGGGUCAGGUUGGAGCUGCAGCUGCUGACCUAGGCCACAGCCAUAGCAGUGCCAGUUGUGAGCUUCAGCUGCCACCAUGCUACAGCUGGUGGCAUGGCCAGAUCCUUAACCUACUAGCAGGGUCAGGGAUGGAACCGCAUCCUCAUGGAUACUCAUCAGGUUCUUAACCCACUGAGCCGCAGUGGGAACUCCUCAUGUCAUUUUGUUUACCCUCCCUCCUGCAGUUUUUGUUGGUAUUGUUCUUGGAAUAUCUUAAGGCAAAUCCCAGCCAGUAGGUCAUUUCCCCCGUAAAUACUUCAGUCUGAACCUCCUGCCAGUGAGGACCUUCCCCCUCAGGAUAACGAUAAUACUAUUGUCACACCUUACAGAUUGACACAACGCCUUUGUAGGAGCAUCUGACCCAGCUCACCUCCAGUUUUCCUCAACCAUCUAAAAUGCAUUUGUCAUUAGUGUUUUUGAAUCAGGAUCCAAACAUGGUUCCCAAUUUGUACUUGACCGAUGGGUCCCUCCAGUCUCUUGGAAUCUAUCAUUGUUCCCUCCGCCUUCUGCCCCCUCCACCUUUUAUAAUUUGUUGCUGAAGGGACACGUCCCACUCCUGCCCGCAUUUUCACACUGCUUAUGUCAUGUUAUCCCUAGGGCACUUAAAAAACACUGUUGCUCAUGGGACGGUUUCUUCCUUUGUUCCUCUUUAAAUAGACUUCAGUACCUUUCCCCCCAGUCCCGCAUUAUAACAGCACAGCUUCUCUAUAGAAAAUGGAACAAUAAGAAGGAGAAAGAUGGUGGGGGCCAGAAUGGGCUUUAGAAAGAGGAGUCCUCCGAGGGGAGCUCUGGUGCCUGUGCAGAGUGUCCUGUGUCCCACGACAGCAUGUUGUCAUCUCCGUUUCUCCCCACUACAUGUUUUAGAAAGAACGGCUCCUGUCCAGUGGGUGGGAAUCGGCUUCAGCCGUGGACAUGAUGGAAUUGUACAGCAAGUUACCUCGCGCGGAAGUGAGCAGAAUAGAGUCCCUUGAAUUCCUGGAUGAAAUGGAGCUUCUUGAGCAACUCAUGCAGCAUUACUGCCUUUGCUGGGCAACCAAAGGAGGCAGUAAUCUGGGUUUGAAAGAAAUUACUUAUUGAUCUGUUCAAGAUGCGUGCGGAUCCAGAGCCAAAGCCACCACCCUCUCUGGAGCUGAGUCUCUGAGUUUCCCAGGCGGUGGUUAAGCCUCUGCUUCCAGUACCCCUGCCCUUGGCCGAGAGACCUCAGUUCCUGGGGUGUCUGUUCCAGUUCCUGUUCCUGUUGGCCUGUUGUUGAAAUAAAUUUCAGUUGCCAGUCG
Non-coding RNA from Sus scrofa (pig), 2604 nucleotides. The record is from RefSeq and is a predicted model, not a curated record. NCBI's taxonomy places the organism in Eukaryota, Metazoa, Chordata, Mammalia, Artiodactyla, Suidae.